RNAcentral lists this ribosomal RNA (379 nucleotides) under uncultured eukaryote. RNAcentral's name for it is "partial 18S ribosomal RNA". It matches the Rfam family "Eukaryotic small subunit ribosomal RNA", at positions 592 to 976 of the family's 1831-position model. The record is from RNAcentral.
CAAUAGCGUAUAUUAAAGUUGUUGCGGUAAAAAAGCUCGUAGUUGGAUUUCUGUUGAGAGCGACCGGUCCAUACCAUGUAUGCGUAUCUGGCUUGCUCUCGGCAUCCUCUCGAUAGACGUUACUGCGCUUGAUUGCGUGGUGCGGAUCUCGGGACUUUUACUUUGAGGAAAUUAGAGUGUUCACGGCAGGCUUUCGCCAGAAUACAUUAGCAUGGAAUAAUACUAUAGGAUCUUGGUUCUAUUUUGUUGGUUUCUAGAAUUGAGAUAAUGAUUAAUAGGGACAAUUGGGGGCAUUCGUAUCAACACGUCAGAGGUGGAAUUCUUGGAUUGUGUUGCGACGAACUACUGCGAAAGCAUUUGCCAAGGAUGUUUACAUUGA